Cajanus cajan (pigeon pea) is the source of this 1107-nucleotide non-coding RNA. The record is from RefSeq and is a predicted model, not a curated record. Lineage: Eukaryota; Viridiplantae; Streptophyta; Magnoliopsida; Fabales; Fabaceae.
UUCUAAAAAAAUUAACCCCAUGCUAUUUGGAGAUCUAAAGCUCCACAUAUGCAGUAGUUACUCUUUAGUGUCUAAGAGAGGAUGUGUACUCUGUUACAACAAGGAUUGACCUAUUUUAAAAUAAAAACUGGUACUGCAUGUCAAACUAUAAAAUUUUAAAAUUUUAAUUAUGAAAAUCUUAGUGUCUUAGCUUUCUAAAAAAAUUAACCCCAUGCUAUUUGGAGAUCUAAAGCUCCACAUAUGCAGUAGUUACUCUUUAGUGUCUAAGAGAGGAUGUGUACUCUGUUACAACAAGGAUUGACCUAUUUUAAAAUAAAAACUGGUACUGCAUGUCAAACUAUACAAUUCUAAAAUUUAAAUUAUGAGAAGCUUAGUGUCUUAGCUUUCUAACAAAAUUAACCCCAUGCUAUUUAGAGGUCUAGAGCUCAAGUUAUGCAGUAGUUACUAUUUGGUGUCUAAGAGAGGAUGUGUAAUCUGUUACAACAAGGACUAAACUAUUUUAAAAUAAAAACUGGUACUACAUGUCAAACUCUAAAAUUAUAAAAUUUUAAUCAUAAGUAGGUUAGUGUCUUAUCUUUCUAAUGAAUCUAAUCCCAUGCUAUGUGAAGCUCUAUAACUCAUGUUAUGCAGAAGUUAUUGUUUGGUGUCUAAGAGUGAAUGUGUAAUCUAUUACAGCAAGCAGUAUUAUCCAAUAAUUAUAUUUUUCAUUUUGUAGGUACAAAAUGCAGAAGGAAGGAAUUUUAAAGUAAAAUAUGAGUACUACAGACAAACGUGAAAAAGAUAUCUUCAAUUUUGAAGGUGAAGUGAAAUCAAGUGCUAAAUUACUUAGGAGAUUUCAAAUCAAGCGUGAAAAGGUAUUAGGAAAGACUUGAUAAUGAAGAUCAGCCUUAUGAUGAUGAAGAGACUGAAUGAUGUUACUUACAUGGAUAGAUGACUAGCUAUGCAUAAUAUUCCUAGAUAACACUUUAUAUUGAAAUUUAGAAAUUUUAUGUAAACUUUGACAUCUUUGGAUAAUUUUAUUUGGAGUUUUAUGCUUUUGAAUUGUCAUAUACUUGUAACUAAUUAAUGCAAGUGAAUUUUACAUGUGUUUGGAUUUUAUUUUAUAAU